GAUGAACGCUGGCGGCGUGCCUAAUACAUGCAAGUCGAGCGAACAGACGAGGAGCUUGCUCCUCUGACGUUAGCGGCGGACGGGUGAGUAACACGUGGAUAACCUACCUAUAAGACUGGGAUAACUUCGGGAAACCGGAGCUAAUACCGGAUAAUAUAUUGAACCGCAUGGUUCAAUAGUGAAAGACGGUUUUGCUGUCACUUAUAGAUGGAUCCGCGCCGCAUUAGCUAGUUGGUAAGGUAACGGCUUACCAAGGCGACGAUGCGUAGCCGACCUGAGAGGGUGAUCGGCCACACUGGAACUGAGACACGGUCCAGACUCCUACGGGAGGCAGCAGUAGGGAAUCUUCCGCAAUGGGGGAAAGCUUGACGGAGCAAAGCCGCGUGAGUGAUGAAGGUCUUCGGAUCGUAAAACUCUGUUAUUAGGGAAGAACAAAUGUGUAAGUAACUAUGCACGUCUUGACGGUACCUAAUCAGAAAGCCACGGCUAACUACGUG
RNAcentral lists this ribosomal RNA (497 nucleotides) under uncultured bacterium. Its description in RNAcentral is "partial 16S ribosomal RNA". It matches the Rfam family "Bacterial small subunit ribosomal RNA", at positions 28 to 507 of the family's 1533-position model. The record is from RNAcentral.